RNAcentral lists this ribosomal RNA (395 nucleotides) under uncultured bacterium. Its description in RNAcentral is "partial 16S ribosomal RNA". It matches the Rfam family "Bacterial small subunit ribosomal RNA", at positions 523 to 918 of the family's 1533-position model. The record is from RNAcentral.
AUACGUAGGGUGCAAGCGUUAAUCGGAAUUACUGGGCGUAAAGCGUGCGCAGGCGGCUUUGUAAGACAGAGGUGAAAUCCCCGGGCUCAACCUGGGAACUGCCUUUGUGACUGCAAGGCUAGAGUACGGCAGAGGGGGAUGGAAUUCCGCGUGUAGCAGUGAAAUGCGUAGAUAUGCGGAGGAACACCGAUGGCGAAGGCAAUCCCCUGGGCCUGUACUGACGCUCAUGCACGAAAGCGUGGGGAGCAAACAGGAUUAGAUACCCUGGUAGUCCACGCCCUAAACGAUGUCAACUGGUUGUUGGGUCUUCAUUGACUCAGUAACGAAGCUAACGCGUGAAGUUGACCGCCUGGGGAGUACGGCCGCAAGGUUGAAACUUAAAGGAAUUGACGGGG